GGUGGCGUGGCCGAGUUGGUCUAAGGCGUCGGAUUUAAGAAUUUCUUGAUUCCCGAUGGGAGGAUUCCCGCGCGAGUUCGAACCUCGCCGCCACCA
This 96-nucleotide transfer RNA is filed under the name Ganoderma leucocontextum. RNAcentral's name for it is "tRNA-Leu". It matches the Rfam family "tRNA". Rfam says of the family: Transfer RNA (tRNA) molecules are approximately 80 nucleotides in length. Lineage: Eukaryota; Fungi; Basidiomycota; Agaricomycetes; Polyporales; Polyporaceae. The record is from RNAcentral.